GAUGAACGCUGGCGGCGUGCUUAACACAUGCAAGUCGAACGGUGAACACGGAGCUUGCUCUGUGGGAUCAGUGGCGAACGGGUGAGUAACACGUGAGCAACCUGCCCCUGACUCUGGGAUAAGCGCUGGAAACGGCGUCUAAUACUGGAUAUGUGACGUGACCGCAUGGUCUGCGUUUGGAAAGAUUUUUCGGUUGGGGAUGGGCUCGCGGCCUAUCAGCUUGUUGGUGAGGUAAUGGCUCACCAAGGCGUCGACGGGUAGCCGGCCUGAGAGGGUGACCGGCCACACUGGGAUUGAGAAACGGCCCAGACUCCUACGGGAGGCAGCAGUGGGGAAUAUUGCACAAUGGGCGAAAGCCUGAUGCAGCAACGCCGCGUGAGGGAUGACGGCCUUCGGGUUGUAAACCUUUUUUAGCAGGGAAGAAGCGAAAGUGACGGUACCUGCAGAAAAAGCGCCGGCUAACUACGUG
RNAcentral lists this ribosomal RNA (469 nucleotides) under uncultured bacterium. RNAcentral describes it as "partial 16S ribosomal RNA". It matches the Rfam family "Bacterial small subunit ribosomal RNA", at positions 28 to 507 of the family's 1533-position model. The record is from RNAcentral.